GCCGGGCGCAGUGGCGCACGCCUGUAGUCCCAGCUAAUCGGGAGGCUGAGGCAGGAGGAUUGCUUGAGCCCAGGAGUUCUUGGCUGUAGUGCGCUAUGCCGAUCGGGUGUCCGCACUAAGUUCGGCAUUAAUAUGGUGACCUCCCGGGAGCGGGGGACCACCAGGUUGCCUAAGGAGGGGUGAACCGGCCCAGGUCGGAAACGGAGCAGGUCAAAAGCAUAUGAGUUUUUUACUUUGACUUUUUCAAGUCUGGUUCUUAAAAGCAUAUGAGUUUUU
RNAcentral lists this signal recognition particle RNA (276 nucleotides) under Neogale vison (American mink). Its description in RNAcentral is "Neovison vison (American mink) Metazoan signal recognition particle RNA (ENSNVIG00000002735.1)". It matches the Rfam family "Metazoan signal recognition particle RNA". Rfam says of the family: The signal recognition particle (SRP) is a universally conserved ribonucleoprotein. Lineage: Eukaryota; Metazoa; Chordata; Mammalia; Carnivora; Mustelidae. The record is from RNAcentral.